AAUGGGCGCAAGCCUGAUCCAGCAAUGCCGCGUGCAGGAUGAGGGCCUUCGGGUUGUAAACUGCUUUUGUACGGAACGAAAAGUCCUGGGUUAAUACCCUGGGGUCAUGACGGUACCGUAAGAAUAAGCACCGGCUAACUACGUGCCAGCAGCCGCGGUAAUACGUAGGGUGCGAGCGUUAAUCGGAAUUACUGGGCGUAAAGCGUGCGCAGGCGGUUUUGUAAGACAGAGGUGAAAUCCCCGGGCUCAACCUGGGAACUGCCUUUGUGACUGCAAGGCUAGAGUACGGCAGAGGGGGAUGGAAUUCCGCGUGUAGCAGUGAAAUGCGUAGAUAUGCGGAGGAACACCGAUGGCGAAGGCAAUCCCCUGGGCCUGUACUGACGCUCAUGCACGAAAGCGUGGGGAGCAAACAGGAUUAGAUACCCUGGUAGUCCACGCCCUAAACGAUGUCAACUGGUUGUUGGGUCUUAACUGACUCAGUAACGAAGCUAACGCGUGAAGUUGACCGCCUGGGGAG
RNAcentral lists this ribosomal RNA (517 nucleotides) under uncultured bacterium. RNAcentral's name for it is "bacterial SSU rRNA". It matches the Rfam family "Bacterial small subunit ribosomal RNA", at positions 370 to 880 of the family's 1533-position model. The record is from RNAcentral.